Molecule: ribosomal RNA, 489 nt
Filed under: uncultured bacterium
Lineage: Bacteria
Description: partial 16S ribosomal RNA
Rfam family: Bacterial small subunit ribosomal RNA
Source: RNAcentral
AUUGAACGCUGGCGGCAGGCCUAACACAUGCGAGUCGAACGGUAACAGGAAACAGCUUGCUGUUUCGCUGACGAGUGGCGGACGGGUGAGUAUGUCUGGGAAACUGCCUGAUGGAGGGGGAUAACUACUGGAAACGGUAGCUAAUACCGCAUAACGUCGCAAGACCAAAGAGGGGGACCCUCGGGCCUCUUGCCAUCGGAUGUGCCCAGAUGGGAUUAGCUUGUUGGUGGGGUAACGGCUCACCAAGGCGACGAUCCCUAGCUGGUCUGAGAGGAUGACCAGCCACACUGGAACUGAGACACGGUCCAGACUCCUACGGGAGGCAGCAGUGGGGAAUAUUGCACAAUGGGCGCAAGCCUGAUGCAGCCAUGCCGCGUGUAUGAAGAAGGCCUUCGGGUUGUAAAGUACUUUCAGCGGGGAGGAAGGGAGUAAAGUUAAUACCUUUGCUCAUUGACGUUACCCGCAGAAGAAGCACCGGCUAACUCCGUG